Xyrichtys novacula (pearly razorfish) is the source of this 5522-nucleotide non-coding RNA. The record is from the annotation of a GenBank genome assembly. Lineage: Eukaryota; Metazoa; Chordata; Actinopteri; Labriformes; Labridae.
CAGAGGAGGAUAUGAAGACGAGAAAACUUUGUGAAAGCCCCCGAGCUGAGAAGAGAUACUGUAUGAGGAUCAUACUGUUUGUUGUGUGUGUGUGUGUGUGUGUGUGUGUGUGUGUGUGUGUGUGUGUGUGUGUGUGUGUGUGUGUGUGUGUGUGUGUGUGUGUGUGUGUGUGUGUUUCCAGAUAUAACAGAUGUACAACACAUUCAGUUGGUGGUUUGUCAUCCAUAAAUCUGCUUGUCUCUGUGACAGCUCUGCUUAGAGUUCAGCUCUGAGGUGUAAAUCUACAUUUAGAGGUUUCAUCAGCUGAAUAUCUCAGGAGAUUACCACCCACUUAUUUACAGUAACAAUAUUUAUGGAUCUCUGACAACAACUCAACAUUUCAUUAUGUUUGUGACACUUAAAGACGCCUCACCCAAACCAAAACCAAAGCUGAUGUGUUUGUGACUGUUUUUAUAGAAUUACAGUCUUUUUGAAACAUGGAGAGAAACAGUGAAUUGAAUAACGUCUAGCAGUGCGAAGAAUAGAUCACUGUUUUAUUUCAAUUCUGCUGAGGAUCUUAACCAUAGACUGUAUAUAGAAUGGACGCCGUCUGCCUCCUCGCUGGGUGAAGUCACUCUGAGAACAGCACCCUCUGUUGAUGGGCUAGAGUAUAGGUCAUAAAUCCCGCCUCCGCCAGCAAAGCUUAUGGAGCUGUGGACAAACUUUCAAAAUUUAUUACACAGAACAUACAUUUUUCUCCCCCCUGCUUGUGAUGUUGACAUGCAGUUACAGUAAGACUGGUUUAUGCUCAAGUCUUCUUUUUUUUCUGUACAGCUCCAUUUUUAAAAGUUAUUGGGGGUUCAUGUUUUCUAUGAUUGACACCUGAUACAGCCUAUUGGCGUUCAGGGAUUGCGUAGCUCAACCGGGGGAUACGCUGUUUGAGCCGAGCGUCAUCACAGCGACUCUCAGCGACACUCCCACCGAAUGCGCACAAUGCUACUGGCAACGCUGGUUUCAGGAAAUGAAGAAAAAUCCCGGAAAUACUGAGAGUUUUUUGGCCUCAAAUCCGUAUACAGGCGGGAGGCAGAACCAACUUGUCCAUAGUGUAUACAGUCUAUGAUCUCAACACACUAUUAAGGAUCAGACCCUGUCUCUUUAUGUCCUUUGACUCCGAUCAGUCCUGGAUUUGUGGUCCUGUCCUGAGCCACUGUCUCUGAGGUCAGACUGCACUCUGUUGGUCCUGGUUCACACGUGUUCACUUGGCGUUGGGUGGCUGUGUUUCUGCUGUCUGCUCAAUUGCCUCUACUAUUACCUCACUCUACAUCAGCACCUCCUACAGGGUCCCCACGGUCCUGCUGCUUGUCCAAAGCUCAUAGAAACACUCCCAAAUUAUUGGAGGUCCCAGUCCAAGCAUUGACCGAGCCAACUAACUAACCAAGCUAACUGACUAUUCAGGUUAAUUAAAUAACCUUACAGAAGCUUUGCCAUGGAGCUAAACCGAUCAGAUGAAAAUCAAGGAAAAUGUUCAGCCCGUAUUUGUAGUAAGGCUUCAUCAAAAGGGGAAAAGUAUCAGCUCCUUUCUUCCAACUGACAAGCAAAACUAAAGAGGAAACCUUCGUCAGAAAUUGUCUCAUCAAGGCCAAGAAAAAACAAACAAAGCUGAAGAUGACGUCUGCUGAGGUUUUUAAAAUGACUCUAGAGAAAAGACAAAAAUUAGCUGUGGAUACUAAAGACAAACAGUGUCAAACACACUGCCAGGCCUUCCUCUGAUCACACUGUCAAAAACAAGAAAAUGGAUGCAGAAGCUCUAAAGCCUUCCACUGCUGGGCCAUCAUCAAAACCUUCUCUUGGCAUGUACAAAGGCAAGAUUGUUCAGUCAAAAAUCUCAUCCAUCUGGGAGUCAAGUGCCAGUGUACCUAGUGCAGCUCCCAAACCAUCUGUACCAAAAACAAAGAGCCAAAGGGUUGGAAACAUGACAAAACGCAGGUACAAAUCCAUGGCUGACCAGCCGAAGAAUGACACACAUAAACCAGGUCCAAAUCAGUGUCUGAAAGACCCACUCAAGCCUGAAGUAAACUUUAAAAGACCAGCCAUGAUAGUAGCACAAUCAAAAACCAGUCUUUGUCAAACCCAAAGAACUUUAACCACAGUCUUAGGUUGAGCCUCUACAAGUCAAACAAUACAGCACAGACCCUGAACCCAGUCUGGAGGGUGAGAAACCAAACUCUGCAGCUACACUCUGUGCAGACACUUACGGAGCAGAGGUGACAACACAAAAGCAAACUCCAGCGAUCUCAAACACGACUCUGGACCUGCGGGUGAACUUAGGUAAAAGAUUAGUUGUGAACCUGUGUGGUGCUUUGGAGGCCAUGGGAACAUAUUUCUCAAUGCAGUGAAGAAGUUUCAAAGGUGAAGUUGAAGAGAGCGAACCGAUGGAAGGGUGACACAAAAAGUGGAGCUGAAGAAUAAAAGGCUUGGAGAUGUUAAAGGAAGUUGAGCAAGUGAAGAACGAUGAAGGUGAAGUGGAGAUGGAUGAUGAGGAGACAGGAGAGGGCAAGACUAACUAACCUAUGAGCUUACUAAACCAACUAGCAGAGCAGAGCAAGAUCAUGAACUCAUUAAGGUCACCAGCUGACCAGGCUCAGUAUCUGCCUGUUUUAUGGAGCUGGUUAAAUACUUAUUUUCAGAGGAGAGAACACCAAAGUUAAAGAUGAUCCAGCAGUGAUAUUUAUAAUAAUCUGACACGCAGAAGAGAAAUAUGAAAUGUAAACUAUAUUUAUUGAUAAAGCAAAGAGGAAGAACAUGUGGAACCAGGCUGCUGCUAAAAAUACAUUUGUUUCUUUCAAAAUAAAGUUUAUUUUUCAUCAUUUAUUUGUUUCUUUUCUCUAUGUGGCGUGGGAAAGAGCAGACGAGUGUUUGAUAAAAACAUGAAUGGUCCUGUCAGAAAGCUGCUGACGGAGAGGAGAGGCUUGUCUGCGCUGAUUUAUUUACAGUUUGUUGAUUUAUUUUAAAAAUAAAACUCUACAGUGGAGGUUUAUUUUCAGUCAAAUUAGCUCUCAGAGUGUCCCUGAUACUCUCAGACUCAGAGAGUAAAUAUCUCAGAGCUGAGAGGACUCCUGUCUGACACUAAACACACUGAAACUGCCUGGUUAUUAUUAGAUAUCAUAACCUGAUCAUUGAGUAUACACAGAGGUUAGAGUCUGUGAGAGCUGGUGUAAACACAGUCAAACAGUAAAGUAAACCUGCAGAUAAACUUAACACCUGAAAGCUUUAGAUGAUGUCGAUUAUUCUCUCAUGUUCAAAUCAAACUCUGAAUGUCAUACAGGGGUCAGUGGUUGUUAGUCCAUGUAAUGGCCACAGUUUAACACCAGCGCCCCCUAUUGUACUGCUAACAAUGCAAACCUGUUAGCCUAGUUAUAUCCACAUUGGUUAUCUCUAUUGCAUAGCAGUGCUGUCCAACAGUUACCUGAAUCAUGUUUGAGGGCAUUUUCUGCAGCUUCUUACUGUUCAAAGAGUCACAGAGUCCAAAUGUGAUUCUGCUGUGAUCAGGAUAAACUGCCUGUUGGGUUUAUGAGAAAAUCUGUCUCUUCUCCCUCUGCAGAAACUUAAGUUAUUUAAUGUUAAAACAGAAGGUGGGACAUCGUGAGGGCAGCAGAGAGAGGAACAGAGAGAGGGAAUGUGUCAGUGACUCAAAGAAGAGUUUUCAGAGACUCUGAACAGGCGGGAAUAAGUUUAACUUUAAUUUUCCACCAAAAACACCCUGACCUUUGACCUCUGACUACCAGCUCCUCCUGAACAAUGCCCUGACAGUAACUGUGACACAUUAAAAUUAAUAGAACAAGUGAAAAAUAAUAUAACAAUUCAAUUAUAUUUAUUUAAUUAACUUCAGUUGCCAUCCUAAUACGCUUUCCAAAGAAAAAGAGCAGGUCUAGACCACGCUCAUUGUUUGAUGAAUUAUUAAGACCCAACUGAGAGAUGGGACAGAUUUGGCCCAUCUCAUCUAACAUGAGUAACAGUGGCAAGGGAAAAUUUCCUUUUAACAGGCAGAAACCUUGGGAAGGACCAGACUCAUAUUAGACAGCCACCAGGCCGCUGCUGGGUUGGGGAGAAAUACAGAGAGAGAGAGAGAGAGAGAGAGAGAGAGAGAGAGAGAGAGAACAAGAAAAUAAAAACUGAGUUUAUUUGUAUGUUGGAGUUACAUAAGGUCAGAGGUCAGUCAGUAUUUUUCCUGUUUAUGAAUCAGUGUAAAAAAAAAAGAAGCUGCUGAUACACAUGAAAAGACUUUAUAGAUUGUGUGUGUGGGAUUGUCCAUAAGUGUGUGUUAGUGUGUGUUUCAGGCUGUGUUCAUGUGUAUGACCCACUGUAUAAAGUGAGACAUCCAGCAAAUCUCAGCCUGCAGGACCGGAGUCACACAGCUGCUGCUGCUGCUGCUGCUGAAUGAGUAACUGUAAUAACUUCAAUAAGUGAAUCACACUGUUGGUGCUGUCUUCAUCCUCCAUAUGUCUCUAUCUUGAGUCUCUACCUGCAGGAGGACACGCAGUGUGGACUACAUCAGACUGAAGCUGGGGUUUGACAUACAGACUGGUUGUCUGAUCCAGCCUGUUUAUCUUCCUCCUGCAGCAGGUAAACAGUCUAUAGUGUCUGCAGUAUGAUCCCUGAUGGAUGAUCAUACUUCACUCUGACUUUGCUGUGAACAUGUCCAAGUACUUCAGGUCAGCAGACAGGUACAGGUUUCUCUGCUCAGAGCUUUGUGAGUGAGGAGUCAAGUGUUUAUUAGUGUUAAAUGACCAUGAGUGGAGAGGGUCAACUUUGUUUAUGGUUCUUCAUAACUGGCCAGUGCUCUUCAGCUGUCAGUGUCCAACACAAACUCAUCUGGUCAGUUGUUUCCUCCGCCUCCUCUCAGAUAAACCCUGAACAGUUGAACUUCUGUCCUAAUAUUUAACAGUGUGGUGAGUGUAAUGAACUCUGGUUUUCAGAUUAGGAGAUUAUCCUCUCAUGUUUGAUCACUGUGCUUCUUUAACAUUCAGUAUCUGCUGGUUAAACUCUGUUAGAGUUCAGCAGUCCUCACUGUUAGAGCUCUUUGUUCAGACGAUGUUUCUGAGGUCGCUCCUAGUCUGAAAGAUUAGAUUUAAUCUGAGUGUUUGAGGAUUAGCAGCAGCUUUUCUCCAAACAUCAAAACUGGAAAGUUAUCAGCCAACUCAUCUGCUUUCUAAUUUCUACAAAGAAAGAGGAGGACGUCUAGUAAUAAGCAGUAGAUUUCACAGCCUGAUAGUUUAAGUCGUUUGACUUUAAAGUUCAGAGGGUUUAUUUCCUCACAGAUUAACAUCUACUGCUCUCUUUGAACGUGCUCUGUGUCCAGCUCUGACGCUGUACGGUCAGAGGCCGAAGUUUACACUAAACGCUUCGGGACGAAAAAAGGCGGCCAAGUUUCAGGCUGGAUCGUUGUAAAGAUAGAGUUAUUUAGAGAUAAUUAAAGUCAAUUAGGAGCUCCUAAAGUGGAAAACUGUUUAGAGAAGUGAGGAGGACUUGAAGCGUUUCUGAAG